GUGGGGAAUUUUGGACAAUGGGCGCAAGCCUGAUCCAGCAAUGCCGCGUGCAGGAAGAAGGCCUUCGGGUUGUAAACUGCUUUUGUACGGAACGAAACGGUCCUGGCUAAUAUCCGGGGCUAAUGACGGUACCGUAAGAAUAAGCACCGGCUAACUACGUGCCAGCAGCCGCGGUAAUACGUAGGGUGCGAGCGUUAAUCGGAAUUACUGGGCGUAAAGCGUGCGCAGGCGGUGCUGUAAGACAGGCGUGAAAUCCCCGGGCUCAACCUGGGAAUUGCGCUUGGGACUGCAGUGCUGGAGUGCGGCAGAGGGGGAUGGAAUUCCGCGUGUAGCAGUGAAAUGCGUAGAUAUGCGGAGGAACACCGAUGGCGAAGGCAAUCCCCUGGGCCUGCACUGACGCUCAUGCACGAAAGCGUGGGGAGCAAACAGGAUUAGAAACCCCAGUAGUCC
RNAcentral lists this ribosomal RNA (450 nucleotides) under uncultured bacterium. RNAcentral's name for it is "partial 16S ribosomal RNA". It matches the Rfam family "Bacterial small subunit ribosomal RNA", at positions 354 to 796 of the family's 1533-position model. The record is from RNAcentral.